This 274-nucleotide ribosomal RNA is filed under the name uncultured bacterium. RNAcentral describes it as "partial 16S ribosomal RNA". It matches the Rfam family "Bacterial small subunit ribosomal RNA", at positions 793 to 1055 of the family's 1533-position model. The record is from RNAcentral.
GUCCUGGCCCUAAACGGUGUUCACUUGGUGUGCGGGGAGUCGACCCCCUGCGUGCCGCAGCUAACGCGAUAAGUGAACCGCCUGGGGAAGUACGGCCGCAAGGCUAAAACUCAAAGAAAUUGACGGGGGCCCGCACAAGCGGUGGAGCAUGUGGCUUAAUUCGAUGCAACGCGAAGAACCUUACCUGGCCUUGACAUGCUGGUAAGUAGAAGCCGGAAAACGGUGACGACUCCUCGCAAGAGGAGAGCCAGCACAGGUGCUGCAUGGUUGUCGU